AAUUUUCGGCAAUGGGGGCAACCCUGACCGAGCGACGCCGCGUGAGUGAAGAAGGCGUUCGGGGUGUAAAGCUCUGUUGUAAGGGAAGAACUGUAGUGAUAGGGAAUGAUCACUACUUGACGGUAUCUUACCAGAAAGCCACGGCUAACUACGUGUCAGUAGCAGCGUUAAUACGUAUGUGGCAAGCGUUAUCCGGCAUUAUUGGGCCUAAAGGAAACACAGGCGGUUUAUUAAGUCAGCUGUUACAACACGGCGCUCAACUUCGUGAUGCAUUAGAACCUGGUAGACUAGAAUGCAGGAGACGUGAGUGGAAUCCCAUGUGUAGCGGUAAAAUGCAUAGAUAUAUGGAGGAACACCAGUGGCGAAGGCGGCUCACUGGCCUGUAACUGACGCUGAGGCUCGAAAGCGUGGAGAGCAAAUA
Molecule: ribosomal RNA, 421 nt
Filed under: uncultured bacterium
Lineage: Bacteria
Description: partial 16S ribosomal RNA
Rfam family: Bacterial small subunit ribosomal RNA
Source: RNAcentral